Molecule: ribosomal RNA, 254 nt
Filed under: uncultured bacterium
Lineage: Bacteria
Description: partial 16S ribosomal RNA
Rfam family: Bacterial small subunit ribosomal RNA
Source: RNAcentral
CGUAGGUGGCGAGCGUUGUCCGGAUUUACUGGGCGUAAAGGGCGUGCAGGCGGUUUGCUAAGUCUAGGGUGAAAGCUCCCGGCUCAACUGGGAGAGGUCCUUGGAUACUGGCAAACUCGAGGGAUGCAGAGGAAAGUGGAAUUCCCGGUGUAGUGGUGAUAUGCGUAGAUAUCGGGAGGAACACCAGUGGCGAAGGCGGCUUUCUGGGCAUUACCUGACGCUGAGACGCGAAAGCGUGGGGAGCGAACCGGAUU